GGCUACGUAGCUCAGUGGGUAAGAGCACAGCACUCAUAAUGCUGGGGUCGUUGGUUCGAGUCCAACCGUAGCUACCA
Molecule: transfer RNA, 77 nt
Filed under: Gammaproteobacteria bacterium
Lineage: Bacteria; Pseudomonadati; Pseudomonadota; Gammaproteobacteria
Description: tRNA-Met
Rfam family: tRNA
About the family: Transfer RNA (tRNA) molecules are approximately 80 nucleotides in length. Their secondary structure includes four short double-helical elements and three loops (D, anti-codon, and T loops).
Source: RNAcentral